UACAUGUUCACUUAAAGCCAAGGGACUUGCAUGAACAUAACUUAGGUUCAACCACCACAUAUCAGUCCUAGUGUUUCCUUGUUUAAUUGCUGAUUAUUUUUUUAGCAAAUCCAUGACCUGGACUGCCAUAUCAGUCAUUUUUUAGAUUGAUCCGUCAUGUAUGUCACUUUUNNNNNNNNNNNNNNNNNNNNNNUAUUUUAUUUUAUUGGUUUUGAUUCUAUUUUUGAGCAGUUUAUCUAAGGUUAAGUUAAUGUCCGAGCCUCAAAAGCUACCAAUAGGAGGAAAAAGAGUUCACAUAUCCCUUGCUUAGCUAUAUGUAAUUGGUAACUUAUUGCAAGAGUGAUUGUUUAUACUUCAGUUACCAUGUCAUUCAAAAUAGUUUUACAAUUUUAAUUUCGGCUUUGGCUCAACAAUCAACAUGAAUAUGAUUUUGUUGUUGUGCUGGAUAUUCCACUUGAUUUUAGAAGAGCAAAUGUAAUUGAGU
This 484-nucleotide long non-coding RNA is filed under the name Trifolium pratense (red clover). Its description in RNAcentral is "long non-coding RNA (TPRA_LNC010582)". Lineage: Eukaryota; Viridiplantae; Streptophyta; Magnoliopsida; Fabales; Fabaceae. The record is from RNAcentral.